GGGAAGAAUCCGUAGACUUUAUAUGAGCACAGCGUGACCUUACAUAUUUUUUUAGUAAGGGAAGCAGCUCAAGGGCAAAAAAAAGGAAUGAGAACUACUACUACUACUACUACUACUACUACUACUACUACUACCAAAAGCCCCACUGAACACUGUCCCUAUGAAAAAAAAAAAAAUUCAGAAGUGGCCAUAAGAGAGGUCAAUUUCAGGAGGAGAGGUGUAGGGAUUUAAAGGAGGCAGCUCAAGAUCAUGAAAAAGCAUAAUGAGAAACAGAAACCCCACUGAACACUCCCAAUGAAAGAAAAAAAAAAAGAGUUCAGAAGUGGCCAAAAGAGAGGUCAAUUUCAGGAGGAGAGGUGUAGGGAUUUAAAGGAGGCAGCUCAAGGUCAUAAAAAUGCAUAAUGAGAAACGAAAGCCCCACUGAACACUGCUCCUAUGUAUGAAAAAAAGGUCAGAAGAGUGGCCAUAGGAGAGAGAGGUCAAUUUCCAGAAGAGAGGUGUAGGGAUUUAAAGGAGGCAGCUCAAGGUCAUAAAAAACCAUAAUGAGAAACGAAAGCCCCACUGAACACUGCUCCUAUGUAUAAAAAAAAGGUCAGAAGAGUGGCCAUAGGAGAGAGAGGUCAAUUUCCAGACAGUGUGAUAAAAACAUGACCACUUACAUUUCCAGUUUUUAUUAAUUUGAACACUCAGGUACUUAAAAGACUGAAAGACUACUAAUACUGACUUAAAAACUAAACUUAAAAAGGGUUCCUGCUUAACUAUUGAGUAUUUCUGUAUAUAUGCACGCAAAUGUUCACACACAGGCGUACGUACAUUGUGGAGGAUGGGGAACAGCACGAGGGAAUACACUUAUGCAUCUGACUAAAGGACACAGCUGCCAGAGAGUAAACAGGUACAGUGUGUGUGUGGGUGUGGGUGGGUGGCUGGGUGUGUGUGUGUGUGUGUGUGUGUGUGUGUGUGUGUGUGUGUGUGUGUGUGUGCAAUAAUAAUAAUAAUAAUUGUGUGUGUGUGUGUGUGGGUGUGUGUGUGUCAGUAAGUCCAGCUUCACAAAUGAAUGUGGCUCAUGAACCAUCAUCAACUUCUCUGGUUCUGAAAUGAGAGCAGCUGGAGGGCGAUCUAUUAAUGGUGCACUUUCAUCCGUAAUAAACAAAACAACAAUAAUCCUAAUGCUAUAAAUGAACCACUAAUGCUAAACACAAAAUGAAAUAAACAUUCUCGUCCAUUCGGCUGAGAAAAAAGUGUUUCCGUAACUGUUUUAAACACUUAUAUUAAUAAUGCAAACACAAGCAUGUACAAAGACCAUGUGGCUUGUGAAUUAAGUUUCUAAAUAGAAAAGUAAAAUAUAGUAAAGAUUGCUGUGAAUAUCCGUCACACUAGAGUGACCUUAAAAAAGUAGUACAAAACAUAAAUGACUUUCUUAAUUGUACAAAUGAUAAUCUUUAAUAUUAACAGUAAAUGUAUCAACCUGUAAAUAAUACUGAGAGUUAGUAUUAUUAGUAAUAGUACCAUACGUGUCGCCCUACACACACUGUUGUCACGAGGAACUCUGCAUUAGAGACGAGGGACUUUGUUUCUCAGCCAGUGAGAGGUAAAGGUGAGCUCAAAACUCAGGUAACUUUGCAAACUCAAACUUUAUUAUGAUAGAUUCUAAAUGCAUUUACAAUAUUAUAUCAGAACAAUGGGGAGGCCUGAGGAAGUGAGGACAAUGAUGUGUGGCAUGGGAGAAUAAACCAAACAGUAAGAACAUCUAGACUGAGGUAAAGAGAGAAGGGGUCAGGUCAAAGGGCAGAGUAGGAUAAGGAAGGAACAAAGGGACACAUGACACA
Eriocheir sinensis (Chinese mitten crab) is the source of this 1826-nucleotide long non-coding RNA. RefSeq lists it as uncharacterized. NCBI's taxonomy places the organism in Eukaryota, Metazoa, Arthropoda, Malacostraca, Decapoda, Varunidae. The record is from RefSeq and is a predicted model, not a curated record. The transcript has 2 exons.